GGCUGCGGGUGGGGGCGCAACCGAGAAGGCGGCGGGUCGCUCCGGCGCAGUGAGUUGGUGCUGUGGGCCGUUCGCAGCAAGAAGUGCGAGGUACACAUGAGCGCGAAAAGGGUCUACGUGAAGGUCCAAGGCUGAUGUCUCCAGGAGGCUUAGAACUAAUAGGCUCCUAUGAGUCCCAACCUGUGCCUUGGGAUUUGAGGACUUCUUUUCUGAGCUUUACCUCUGACCCAGGGCUGUGAUUCUGCCUCAGAGAUGAACAUUGGCAUAGACUGUCACCUUUCUCCAGUGUGCUUGGGCUACACAUGGCAAGAAGAAGAGCUCUGAGUCCAGAAUUCUGCUCCAAGAGGUGACCAAGGAGGGUACUGCAGAAGGAACUUGGGGGCAGAGCCAAGAGCUAAGGAGAGCACUGGCCUGAGGAGCUCCAUCCAGGUAGCAGAAGCAGGGCAUAACCAGAAGACUCCCCGGUCCCAAGGUCAGCGUUUCUCACCAAGUCUGCCCAGAGGAAUUUCAUAGCUGCUGCAGACCUGAGAUUGCUGGGCUCCUCCCAUGCUUCCCCUUCCCGGACUCCUAAUUGUGGUUAUCUUGUGGUUAUCCUUCUGCAUUAUUCCACUGUAUUGGAUAUACGGAUUCAGGCAAUUUGUCCUUUUACAUCAUAGGUUCAGAGGUCUCCAGAUCCGGAGGAAAAACAUCCAGACCUGAUGUUGAGGCCAUCACACCAUCCAAGACUUUGAUCUUAAUGCUCUUGGUAGGUAACUAAAUAGAGGUUUUAGGUUAUCUCUCUUAGGGAGAGAUUGUGUGUGGAGGGAGGGAAGUGAAUAUUUGUAAGAAAACAGACAGUGGCAGACUAAUUAUUUGUUCAAAGUAUUCACGGCCCCUCCCCUGACGCCCCACAUUAUGGAAGGCCUAUUUUUACUUCCCACCUCACUGACAUUAGGCUUGGCCACAUGACUUGCUUCGGCCAAUGAGUUGUGGGCAGAAGCCAGAAGAACCAUCUCCUGGUUCUGACACUGUACUUUUCCCUGCCACAUAACAACAUCCCAGAGCAGACUUGAUCUUUCAGCAUGAAUCCCAGAGCAAAGAGGGUGUGGAGGAGUCAGAGCUGGCCCACUAGUGAUACGUAACAUAAAGAAGAAAUACACCUUUGUUACUAUGAGCCAUUGAGAUCAACAGGCCAUCGUUCCUACGACACUCCUAGAUUAAGCUCUCUGAUAUACCUCUGAAUGGUGUACAUUAAGGCCAAAGAGGUUGAAACUCGAUUUAUUAUCCUACUAGUUAUCUGUGAGAAUCCUCUAUUGGUGGGGGUUUCCCCCACUGGCUAGAAAAUUAAAUACAAAUGUCUAUCAUUAGGCUACAAUACACGAAACUACCAUCUUGGCUGCUAGGAAAUGAGGCAGCCUGGCAUCCACAGCCUUCCACUUGAUUUUCUCCACAUCCAGCCUACUACAGCCAAACCUGAAUCCAAUUCUGGAGUCGGUCACCAUUACCCCGUUUACCCCCUCACAACCGAAGCUGACUAGGAAUUACCAUUUACCAGAAGACUCCAGCAACGAUAUGAGGUAACUGCGUUAUUGAGUGGUUAAGAUCUUAGAGCCAGACAACCUGGAUCUGAAACUAGGCUGCCUUCCUUAUGUGCUGAAACUAGGCUGCCUUCCUUAUGUGCUAGAGAACCACGAACAAGUGACUUUAUCUCUCUUGCUUUUCUCAGUUACCCCUCUGUGCCUCAGUUGCCAUUCUUCAAAAUAAGAAUGUUUGAAAGAUGAGUUAGUGUAAGGAAAUUGUGUAGAACGGCUCCUGAUACAUAUUUGGUUCUCAGUACAUAAUGGCCAUUACUAUUUUCACCAUGAUCAU
Felis catus (domestic cat) is the source of this 1848-nucleotide long non-coding RNA. RefSeq lists it as uncharacterized. NCBI's taxonomy places the organism in Eukaryota, Metazoa, Chordata, Mammalia, Carnivora, Felidae. The transcript has 3 exons. The record is from RefSeq and is a predicted model, not a curated record.